This 512-nucleotide ribosomal RNA is filed under the name uncultured bacterium. Its description in RNAcentral is "bacterial SSU rRNA". It matches the Rfam family "Bacterial small subunit ribosomal RNA", at positions 28 to 534 of the family's 1533-position model. The record is from RNAcentral.
GAUUAACGCUAGCGGCAGGCCUAAUACAUGCAAGUCGAACGAGAUUCAGAAUAGCAAUAUUUUGAUGAAAGUGGCGCACGGGUGCGUAACACGUAUGCAAUUUGCCUUUAACUGGGGGAUAGCCUUCCGAAAGGAAGAUUAAUACCGCAUAAUAUAUUUGAAAAGCAUUUUUUGAAUAUUAAACUUACGGGGGUUAAAGAUGAGCAUGCGUCCGAUUAGCUAGUUGGUGAGGUAACGGCUCACCAAGGCAACGAUCGGUAGGGGGUCUGAGAGGAUGAUCCCCCACACUGGUACUGAGACACGGACCAGACUCCUACGGGAGGCAGCAGUAAGGAAUAUUGGACAAUGGGCGCAAGCCUGAUCCAGCCAUGCCGCGUGAAGGAUUAAGGCCCUAUGGGUUGUAAACUUCUUUUAUACGGGACAAAACCCCUCUACGUGUAGAGGGUUGAUGGUACUGUAAGAAUAAGCAUCGGCUAACUUCGUGCCAGCAGCCGACGGUAAAACGUAGCGUG